RNAcentral lists this long non-coding RNA (208 nucleotides) under Lathyrus oleraceus (garden pea). Its description in RNAcentral is "Pisum sativum (pea) long non-coding RNA (PSAT_LNC009711)". Lineage: Eukaryota; Viridiplantae; Streptophyta; Magnoliopsida; Fabales; Fabaceae. The record is from RNAcentral.
GUCAACCUAGACACACACAAAAAUGUCUCAAUCUAGGAGCAACAUUUGCAUCAUAAUUUAAUACCUCCUUUCAAUUUUUGUAACAUUUGAUUUUAAUAUAUUAAUAACUUUUUGUUACAACAAGGUUAACAAUAAACAUCACUCUAACUUAAACACACUUAAAAUGGAACAAGUCUGAAUAAACAACACAAACAACAUAUAUCAAAAG